Molecule: long non-coding RNA, 881 nt
Organism: Cygnus olor (mute swan)
Lineage: Eukaryota; Metazoa; Chordata; Aves; Anseriformes; Anatidae
Exons: 3
Source: RefSeq, a predicted model, not a curated record
UCCCCUUUACCCAUUGUAGUGCCUCUUAUUUCACUGUCUGCUGUCUGUCCUCAGCGCCAAAGGAAACUGUGAUCCAUAAUUCCCGGUGCUGCCCAGCCUGCAGUAAAACUGCUCAGUGUGAAACGUAAUAUGCAAAAACUUUUUCUCUCUUUUUUGUUUUUAACUUUUUUUUUUUUUUUUAAAUCUUUUUGGCAAGCUCUGGAAAAAGGCUUGUUUCCUGGCAGGAGAAAAAGCCAGCCUUGGCUUCAAGCAGCCACUGACAAUUCCCAGCAUAUGGUAAGAGAGGGAGCUUCCGCCUACCCCAUCAGAGGAGAUCAGACUAAAGGCCCCAAGUUCCAGCUUCCUGCGUCUGAAAGAAGCUAGGUCAGGAUUUUGCAAAAAGGACCAAGAAAUCAAUUUUGUGACCCAUUGAUAAGGACCUUACAGAUGGGGAAGUUUCUUUCACAGCCUUACAUUCCUGCUCACCUUAGCCCUUGGACGUAUUGAUGGGAAUCCCAAAUAGAAGGAAUUUACCUGGUGCUAAUUUGGGUACCACAGGGCUUAGCCUGUGGUACAUAUAUCUGAAAGCUACUUUUAGAAGACAUUUUGGAAGACAUGAAGCCUAUAUACUUCAGACAAGAAGCCUAAUAACUUGGGGCACAGACCAGCUGAAAAUCAAUUCCACAUGUUUGAGGCUUCUGUACUGUAGCUGAUAAGGUAGAACCUGGUGUUUCAACAAAAUUUUUGUAAUAACCAUUGACAACAAUACAGAGACUGUGAUUAUGUAAAUGAUGGACUAAACUUGUAUGAGCAUAACUGUAGCAAUGAAAUACUUUACACUAAUUUUUGAGGACAUUUAUAUGUUGGUGCUUGCACAAGGUGUGGGCUAUAAGGCCACUAUC